AUUGAACGCUGGCGGCAUGCUUUACACAUGCAAGUCGAACGGUAACAGACCGCAAGGUGCUGACGAGUGGCGAACGGGUGAGUAAUGCAUCGGAACGUGCCCAGUCGUGGGGGAUAACGCAGCGAAAGCUGCGCUAAUACCGCAUACGAUCUAUGGAUGAAAGCGGGGGACCGUAAGGCCUCGCGCGAUUGGAGCGGCCG
Molecule: ribosomal RNA, 200 nt
Filed under: uncultured bacterium
Lineage: Bacteria
Description: partial 16S ribosomal RNA
Rfam family: Bacterial small subunit ribosomal RNA
Source: RNAcentral